AUGGCUCUUACUGAAGACUAGCAGUU
RNAcentral lists this non-coding RNA (26 nucleotides) under Mus musculus (house mouse). Lineage: Eukaryota; Metazoa; Chordata; Mammalia; Rodentia; Muridae. The record is from miRBase by way of RNAcentral.